UCGAGUCGGCCUGCGCGGAAGAUGUAACGGGGCUAAACCAUGCACCGAAGCUGCGGCAGCGACACUGUGUGUUGUUGGGUAGGGGAGCGUUCUGUAAGCCUGUGAAGGUGUGUCGUGAGGCAUGCUGGAGGUAUCAGAAGUGCGAAUGCUGACAUAAGUAACGAUAAAGCGGGUGAAAAGCCCGCUCGCCGGAAGACCAAGGGUUCCUGUCCAACGUUAAUCGGGGCAGGGUGAGUCGACCCCUAAGGCGAGGCCGAAAGGCGUAGUCGAUGGGAAACGGGUUAAUAUUCCCGUACUUGGUGUUACUGCGAAGGGGGGACGGAGAAGGCUAUGUUGGCCGGGCGACGGUUGUCCCGGUUUAAGCGUGUAGGUGUGUGUUCCAGGUAAAUCCGGUUCACUUUAACACUGAGGCGUGACGACGAGGCACUACGGUGCUGAAGCAACAAAUGCCCUGCUUCCAGGAAAAGCCUCUAAGCAUCAGGUAACAUCAAAUCGUACCCCAAACCGACACAGGUGGUCAGGUAGAGAAUACCAAGGCGCUUGAGAGAACUCGGGUGAAGGAACUAGGCAAAAUGGUGCCGUAACUUCGGGAGAAGGCACGCUGACACGUAGGUGAAGUGAUUUACUCAUGGAGCUGAAGUCAGUCGAAGAUACCAGCUGGCUGCAACUGUUUAUUAAAAACACAGCACUGUGCAAACACGAAAGUGGACGUAUACGGUGUGACGCCUGCCCGGUGCCGGAAGGUUAAUUGAUGGGGUCAGCGCAAGCGAAGCUCCUGAUCGAAGCCCCGGUAAACGGCGGCCGUAACUAUAACGGUCCUAAGGUAGCGAAAUUCCUUGUCGGGUAAGUUCCGACCUGCACGAAUGGCGUAAUGAUGGCCAGGCUGUCUCCACCCGAGACUCAGUGAAAUUGAACUCGCUGUGAAGAUGCAGUGUACCCGCGGCAAGACGGAAAGACCCCGUGAACCUUUACUAUAGCUUGACACUGAACAUUGAGCCUUGAUGUGUAGGAUAGGUGGGAGGCUUUGAAGUGUGGACGCCAGUCUGCAUGGAGCCGACCUUGAAAUACCACCCUUUAAUGUUUGAUGUUCUAACGUGGACCCGUGAUCCGGGUUGCGGACAGUGUCUGGUGGGUAGUUUGACUGGGGCGGUCUCCUCCUAAAGAGUAACGGAGGAGCACGAAGGUUGGCUAAUCCUGGUCGGACAUCAGGAGGUUAGUGCAAUGGCAUAAGCCAGCUUGACUGCGAGCGUGACGGCGCGAGCAGGUGCGAAAGCAGGUCAUAGUGAUCCGGUGGUUCUGAAUGGAAGGGCCAUCGCUCAACGGAUAAAAGGUACUCCGGGGAUAACAGGCUGAUACCGCCCAAGAGUUCAUAUCGACGGCGGUGUUUGGCACCUCGAUGUCGGCUCAUCACAUCCUGGGGCUGAAGUAGGUCCCAAGGGUAUGGCUGUUCGCCAUUUAAAGUGGUACGCGAGCUGGGUUUAGAACGUCGUGAGACAGUUCGGUCCCUAUCUGCCGUGGGCGCUGGAGAACUGAGGGGGGCUGCUCCUAGUACGAGAGGACCGGAGUGGACGCAUCACUGGUGUUCGGGUUGUCAUGCCAAUGGCACUGCCCGGUAGCUAAAUGCGGAAGAGAUAAGUGCUGAAAGCAUCUAAGCACGAAACUUGCCCCGAGAUGAGUUCUCCCUGAGACUUAAAGUCUCCUGAAGGAACGUUGAA
RNAcentral lists this ribosomal RNA (1715 nucleotides) under Salmonella enterica. RNAcentral's name for it is "partial 23S ribosomal RNA". It matches the Rfam family "Bacterial large subunit ribosomal RNA", at positions 1149 to 2842 of the family's 2925-position model. Lineage: Bacteria; Pseudomonadati; Pseudomonadota; Gammaproteobacteria; Enterobacterales; Enterobacteriaceae. The record is from RNAcentral.